UUUCCAGCCAGCGAUAACGCCAGAGAGGAGCACCCAAUGGAAUCGUAAUCGUUUCGGCUCAUUAAUCCAGAGGCAGCUUCGAAUGGCGACUGUACCUCUGACAGAUACCCGCUAUCUCCCCCCCCUCUCUUGCUAUCUCUAAUUACGCCUGGCACGUAAAUCCUAUUAAAGGCGGACACGCAACUUGACCAGAAACAUCAUCCAGUCAUCCAGUCAUCCGUCGCGAGAGAUCCCUCGACCGACUACUGUUCUAAUUCAAUUUCCUAGCACUCGACAUUCCUGCUGACCGCUGGUCACACGUCACUCAGAAACCAGUUAACCUUUCCAGACCUAUCUGCAGAGCACUCAACAGUCC
Drosophila persimilis is the source of this 355-nucleotide long non-coding RNA. RefSeq lists it as uncharacterized. Lineage: Eukaryota; Metazoa; Arthropoda; Insecta; Diptera; Drosophilidae. The transcript is spliced from 3 exons. The record is from RefSeq and is a predicted model, not a curated record.